AAUGAACGUUGGCGGCAUGGAUUAGGCAUGCAAGUCGAGCGAGAACCCGCAAGGGGGACAGCGGCGAACGGGGUAGGAAUACCUAGGUAACGUACCCUCGGGGCGAGGACAGCCACGGGAAACUGUGGGUAAUACUCGAUAAACUUCCCAAUCAUUAUGGAAGGGGAAGCAAUGGGUGUGAUUCCACCUGAGGAGCGGCUUAGGCAGUAUCAGCUAGUUGGUGAGGUAACGGCUCACCAAGGCUACGACGCUUAGGGGGUGUGAGAGCAUGGCCCCCACCACUGGCACUGAGACACUGGCCAGACACCUACGGGUGGCUGCAGUCGAGAAUCUUCGGCAAUGGACGCAAGUCUGACCGAGCGAUGCCGCGUGCGGGAUGAAGGUCUUCGGAUUGUAAACCGCUGUCAGAGGGGAUGAAGUGUACGGGAGUUAUCUCCUGUAUUUGACAGAGCCUCAGAGGAAGCACGGGCUAAGUUCGUGCCAGCCGCCGCAGUAACAC
RNAcentral lists this ribosomal RNA (499 nucleotides) under uncultured bacterium. RNAcentral's name for it is "bacterial SSU rRNA". It matches the Rfam family "Bacterial small subunit ribosomal RNA", at positions 29 to 526 of the family's 1533-position model. The record is from RNAcentral.